UGGUCAUUACCAAGGCUUUUAGAACAGUUUUCUCAUCUGUCAUGGAUGUGACCACAAAACAUUUUCCCACUGGGUUUUCUCUCUGCUACGGUGCUAGCACUCAGCCUACUGGGGGCACUU
This is a small nucleolar RNA of Artibeus jamaicensis (Jamaican fruit-eating bat), 120 nucleotides long. RefSeq annotates it as small nucleolar RNA SNORA32. Lineage: Eukaryota; Metazoa; Chordata; Mammalia; Chiroptera; Phyllostomidae. The record is from RefSeq and is a predicted model, not a curated record. The transcript has a single exon.